This 253-nucleotide ribosomal RNA is filed under the name uncultured bacterium. RNAcentral's name for it is "partial 16S ribosomal RNA". It matches the Rfam family "Bacterial small subunit ribosomal RNA", at positions 524 to 776 of the family's 1533-position model. The record is from RNAcentral.
GACAGAGGUUGCAAACGUUGUUCGGAAUUACUGGGCAUAAAGCGCACGUAGGCGGUUUGUUAAGUCAUGUGUGAAAUCCCCCGGCUCAACCGGGGAAUUGCGCCUGAUACUGGCGGGCUAGAGAUCGAUAGGGGUGAGCGGAACCCCAGGUGGAGCGGUGAAAUGCGUAGAUAUCUGGAGGAACACCGGUGGCGAAAGCGGCUCACUGGAUCGAAACUGACGCUGAGGUGCGAAAGCUAGGGUAGCAAACGGG